AGGACGAACGCUGGCGGCGUGCUUAACACAUGCAAGUCGAGCGGAAAGGCCCUUCGGGGUACUCGAGCGGCGAACGGGUGAGUAACACGUGAGUAACCUGCCCUUGGCUCUGGGAUAGCUCCGGGAAACCGGAAUUAAUACCGGAUAUGACCUCGGCCGACAUCGGCCGUGGUGGAAAGAUUUAUCGGCCAGGGAUGGGCUCGCGGCCUAUCAGCUAGUUGGUGGGGUAACGGCCUACCAAGGCGACGACGGGUAGCCGGCCUGAGAGGGCGACCGGCCACACUGGGACUGAGACACGGCCCAGACUCCUACGGGAGGCAGCAGUGGGGAAUAUUGCGCAAUGGGCGAAAGCCUGACGCAGCGACGCCGCGUGGGGGAUGAAGGCCUUCGGGUUGUAAACCCUUUCGGCAGGGACGAAGCGAAAGUGACGGUACCUGCAGAAGAAGCGCCGGCUAACUACGCGCCAGCAGCCGC
Molecule: ribosomal RNA, 474 nt
Filed under: uncultured bacterium
Lineage: Bacteria
Description: SSU rRNA
Rfam family: Bacterial small subunit ribosomal RNA
Source: RNAcentral